Non-coding RNA from Mycena leptocephala, 85 nucleotides. The record is from the annotation of a GenBank genome assembly. Lineage: Eukaryota; Fungi; Basidiomycota; Agaricomycetes; Agaricales; Mycenaceae.
AGCUAUAUAGUCUAGAUGGUUUGUCCACUCACUAGUAAUAUUGUCCAGUCUCCGAAGGUUGAGGGUUCAAUUCCCUCUGCAGCCA